UGUGGGGGUGUUCCCGAGCCCAGCGCUGUUAGUUUGGGGUGACGUUUGCUGUCGGAGCUCUUGGUUUUGUUUGAAGCUCCGUUACUGCAUCUGGGACAGCCCUGUCCAGGCCAGGAGUAGCAGCAAAGGAUGAAACCCUGAGGCACCUGCUGGCUGUUCUGCACCACGCUGCGCGAGGAGCUCAGCACGCAGCAGGAGCUGCCACCCCCAGCAAUACCACCACUGCUCCUUGGCUACAAGCGUGCAGGAGGAAGGCUGGGAAGCAAAAAGAGCUGGUGAGGGGCAUGGUGAGAAGGAAACCUGCUGUGCCAGCAAUGCCGUCCCCUCUGCCCCAGCCAGAUGUUUCUGUUGCUUUGUGUGGGUUUGAGUCUGCGCAGCUGGCAGCAGCCAUGGCAGAGCUGGCAUCAGCACUGCGAAGCGGGGGUGCAAAAAGGGAGAAUGACAUUCUUGAUCAGUUAAAGAACGGAUUCAGUGACAUCUUUAAAGAGUGUUCUUGAAGAAGCCAUGCUAAGAAUCACAUUGAAGCUUCAAAACUCCAAACUGACUGCGAAACGAUGACGAAGGUUGCUCAGUGGGCUUCUCCAACCUGCAGUGGUUCCUAUGGGUGUGCAGGAGAUGGCCGCCCAAGGCAGUCACAUGUGGAGUAUCAGCAGUUACACACCACGUUCUGUGCAAAUGUGAUGAUAAUAAAUUGGCUCCAGGAA
Molecule: non-coding RNA, 704 nt
Organism: Meleagris gallopavo (turkey)
Lineage: Eukaryota; Metazoa; Chordata; Aves; Galliformes; Phasianidae
Source: RefSeq, a predicted model, not a curated record